GAUGAACGCUAGCGGCAGGCUUAAUACAUGCAAGUCGAGGGGCAGCACGGGUAGCAAUACCUGGUGGCGACCGGCAAACGGGUGCGGAACACGUACGCAACUUUCCCAAAACUGGUGAAUAGCCCUCCGAAAGGAGGAUUAAUACACCGUAACAUAAUGAAGUGGCAUCACUUUAUUAUUAUAGCUCCGGCGGUUUUGGUAUGGGCGUGCGCCUGAUUAGGUAGUUGGCGGGUAACGGCCCACCAAGCCUUCGAUCAGUAACUGGUGUGAGAGCACGACCAGUCACACGGGCACUGAGACACGGGCCCGACUCCUACGGGAGGCAGCAGUAAGGAAUAUUGGA
This 343-nucleotide ribosomal RNA is filed under the name uncultured bacterium. Its description in RNAcentral is "bacterial SSU rRNA". It matches the Rfam family "Bacterial small subunit ribosomal RNA", at positions 28 to 368 of the family's 1533-position model. The record is from RNAcentral.